GACGAACGCUGGCGGCGUGCUUAACACAUGCAAGUCGAACGGAAAGGCCCUGCUUUUGUGGGGUGCUCGAGUGGCGAACGGGUGAGUAACACGUGAGUAACCUGCCCUUGACUUUGGGAUAACUUCAGGAAACUGGGGCUAAUACCGGAUAGGAGCUCCUGCUGCAUGGUGGGGGUUGGAAAGUUUCGGCGGUUGGGGAUGGACUCGCGGCUUAUCAGCUUGUUGGUGGGGUAGUGGCUUACCAAGGCUUUGACCGGUAGCCGGGCUGAGAGGGUGACCGGCCACACUGGGACUGAGAUACGGCCCAGCCUCCUCCGGGAGGCAGCAGUGGGGAAUAUUGCACAGUGGGCGGAAGCCUGAUGCAGCAACGCCGCGUGCGGGAUGACGGCCUUCGGGUUGUAAACCGCUUUCGCCUGUGACGAAGCGUGAGUGACGGUAAUGGGUAAAGAAGCACCGGCUAACUACGUG
RNAcentral lists this ribosomal RNA (468 nucleotides) under uncultured bacterium. RNAcentral describes it as "partial 16S ribosomal RNA". It matches the Rfam family "Bacterial small subunit ribosomal RNA", at positions 28 to 507 of the family's 1533-position model. The record is from RNAcentral.